This 1203-nucleotide ribosomal RNA is filed under the name Triticum aestivum (bread wheat). RNAcentral describes it as "partial small subunit ribosomal RNA". The record is from RNAcentral. Lineage: Eukaryota; Viridiplantae; Streptophyta; Magnoliopsida; Poales; Poaceae.
AUGUGGUGCUAUCUUUGUCAGUGCUAUCAGCCCUCUGGAGAUGCCUUAUACCUCUCUGUGGUGCGUCAGGAGCAUGCUCUUCAGCAGGGUGACUCGUCUGUUGAUGAGUUCUAUUCAGAGUGCUCUGCCAUCUGGCGUCAUCUUGACUCACUGCGGACAGUUGUUUGUGGCACUUACCAUUGCUGUCAGACUACGCGGUCUGACUUGGAGUUUCAGUGGGUUCAUGAGUUCUUAUCUCGUCUCUGCUCUGAGUUUGAGCCCAGGAGGGAUCACUUGCUUACUCGUUGUUGUGUUCCUCUCUCGGAGGUGCUUGCCGAGCUUCGUGCUGAGGAGACUCGCCUUUGCUUUGCUGGGUUGCUGGUGGUUUCGUCUGUGUUGGCUGCUCGGGCUCCUGUGUCGCCUGCUCGGCUCACCGCUCCACCGCUCCUACCACACCUUCAGGGGGUGGGUCGCCCUUCUUAUGCUGAGAGGGGCAGGUCGCGCCGUGACACCUUCUGUGGCUACAGCUCUCGGCCAGGUCAUCCAGAGUCUGAUUGCCGUGAGAAGAAGCGAGACCAGAGGCGCUCCUCUUCCAGUGGGAAUCCUGGAUUUUCCUCGACUCUGUCACUCACUGAUCAGGACAUUGUGAGGCUCAAGCGUCUCUUGGCUUCCUCAGGCUCUUUGUCUACCGGUUCCGCUGCUGCGGUGACUGCAUCCACUUCUCCACCACCGCAGGCAUCUACACAGUCAGGUACAUCUUCGUGGGUUCUGGAUUCUAGAGCCUCUUUUCAUAUGUCUUCUGAUUCUUUCGUGUUGUAUUCUCUCCAACCUCUUGAUUCACCUGUUAAUGUUCUUACCGCCGAUGGCACACCUCUUCCUGUUGCUAGUCGUGGUCUUCUUUCCACUCCAUCUUUCUCUGUUCCUAGUGUUUCACAUGUUCCUCGCCUUACCAUGAAUCUUUUUUCCGCUGCCCAACUUACUGAUUCUGGUUGUCGUGUCAUUCUUGAUACCGACUCUUGCUCCAUUCAGGAUCGUCGCACCAAGGCUUUGGUUGGUGCUGGCCCCGGCGUUGUGAGUCAGAGGGCCUUUGGGAAGUUGACUGGCCUUGUGUUCCUUCCGCUGCCACCACUUCUGCCAGCUCCCAUGCUCUUGCUGCCUCCUCGUAUGCGUCCUUCCAGCAGUGUGAAAGUACAUGUAGUCCCCAUGUGUGGUUUUGGUAAUUGA